Molecule: long non-coding RNA, 696 nt
Filed under: Anas platyrhynchos platyrhynchos (common mallard)
Lineage: Eukaryota; Metazoa; Chordata; Aves; Anseriformes; Anatidae
Description: lncRNA (ENSAPLG00000022201.1)
Source: RNAcentral
CUGCUCUUAAAACAACCUUAUUUCUGUCCUAGGGGCUUGUCGUAACUCAAACAGCCCUGCGUAUGGCUCAUUACAUCAAUGGCUUCUUAUGGACUCCAUCUCCCAGCAAAUCCAAAGGACAUUUAAUUAUUUUGGCCUGAAAGAUUUGGUAUGGAAUGCUAUUCAGGAUGCACAGAGGAAAAUCCUCAUCUUGGCAUGGUCUGACACCCUUCAGCUUUUUACUUCAGAAAUUCUAGUUUUGGGUCAGAUUGAUAAAUGCCAACCAUUUCUGAGUUCUACAGCUGAAGUUUCCACAUGGAUUUCCUUUUUACAUCUGUUGCCUUAAAAAACAGUCUGUAGUCUUCCCAGAAGCUCCCCUAAUACUCACAGAGGAUGAGCUUACUUUACCAGGAGAUCUAAAAUACUGACUCAGCAGUCUUCAUGAAGCUGGAUAUGUUACCUCUCCAGUACAGAAUUUGAUGGACUGCCAGUGUAAAGUAGCUUCACAAACGACACACAAUUUCACCUAUUGCUUUAUUUUUCUUUUAUUUUUCUACCUGCUCUGCCUCUCUGAUUCUGUCAUCUGAAUAUGUAUAUGUGUGUAUUCAUAUGUAAAAAGAUUCCAUUCAAGUUGCACUGAGGAGUAAAAAUGGCAAGUAAAAUUGUAAGUGUUUGGUUUCAAUUUUCUGUGACUAAUUCCAGUGAUUUACUUUUAGC